This 294-nucleotide unclassified non-coding RNA is filed under the name Hevea brasiliensis (rubber tree). The record is from RNAcentral. Lineage: Eukaryota; Viridiplantae; Streptophyta; Magnoliopsida; Malpighiales; Euphorbiaceae.
GCAAUUACUAAGAUCCUGCUCAAUUAUCCGGACAGAAAACUAAAAUGAAGUGUAAGGACAGCUAGCUAAAGUAGAAACUGACAAUGGGGAAGACAAAAAAAAACAGUUUUAUCUACUAGUUUCACAUCAACCUACAUCAGCACAGAAGUUAAUCGUAUCUAAGAAUAGCAUCAAAGUAUACAAUGCCAUGCAUUCUGAUCAUAAACACUGAAAUAUUAUCACACAGUCGGUUUUCGCUACAAGUUGAUCUCCAAUGCACAGCAUUGUUUGUUUCUGAGAGAGCAUAUGUUGUUU